GCAAGUCUACUUGAAUUCACUUCGGUGAUAGUAAGGUGGCGGACGGGUGAGUAACACGUAAAGAACUUGCCUUAUAGUCUGGGACAACUAUUGGAAACGAUAGCUAAUACCGGUUAUUAUGAUUGCUCCGCUUGAGAGGUUAUGUAAGCUAUAUGCGCUAUAAGAGAGCUUUGCGUCCCAUUAGCUUGUUGGUGAGGUAACGGCUCACCAAGGCCACGAUGGGUAGCCGGCCUGAGAGGAUGAAC
This 245-nucleotide ribosomal RNA is filed under the name uncultured bacterium. Its description in RNAcentral is "partial 16S ribosomal RNA". It matches the Rfam family "Bacterial small subunit ribosomal RNA", at positions 57 to 305 of the family's 1533-position model. The record is from RNAcentral.